Molecule: ribosomal RNA, 495 nt
Filed under: uncultured bacterium
Lineage: Bacteria
Description: bacterial SSU rRNA
Rfam family: Bacterial small subunit ribosomal RNA
Source: RNAcentral
GAUGAACGCUAGCUACAGGCUUAACACAUGCAAGUCGAGGGGCAGCACAGUGUAGCAAUACAUGGGUGGCGACCGGCGCACGGGUGCGUAACGCGUAUCCAACCUUCCCGUUACUCUUGGAUAGCCUUCCGAAAGGGAGAUUAAUACAAGAUGGUAUUCAAAUUCCGCAUGUUAUUUGAAUUAAAGAUUUAUCGGUAACGGAUGGGGAUGCGUGACAUUAGGUAGAUGGCGGGGUAACGGCCCACCAUGCCUACGAUGUCUAGGGGUUCUGAGAGGAAGGUCCCCCCACACUGGAACUGAGACACGGUCCAGACUCCUACGGGAGGCAGCAGUGAGGAAUAUUGGUCAAUGGUCGGAAGACUGAACCAGCCAAGUAGCGUGAAGGAUGAAGGUUCUAUGGAUUGUAAACUUCUUUUAUACGGGAAUAAAACCUCCACGUGUGGGAGCUUGUAUGUACCGUAUGAAUAAGCAUCGGCUAACUCCGUGCCAGCAGCC